This is a long non-coding RNA of Triticum aestivum (bread wheat), 492 nucleotides long. RefSeq lists it as uncharacterized. Lineage: Eukaryota; Viridiplantae; Streptophyta; Magnoliopsida; Poales; Poaceae. The record is from RefSeq and is a predicted model, not a curated record. The transcript has 2 exons.
UGGUGCCAGAGGCGGAGGGGCAGCUGCGCGGCUGUACGAGCUACAACAGCAGACUGACAUUUGGCCGGCUGGGAGAACCCAAUUUUAGAGGAGUAGUGCCGCGAAAAAGAUGAAGACAUCGAGAGGCAUGAGCUGUGGGCAUGAUCCCCUUCAAGGCCACUGACUACAUGAGGGAGAGGUUCUCAGUUGGACAGAUUUGUCUUUCAUUUCAUUACUCAGUGCUGACCUCUUUCUCUAUUUUUAUCUCAUUUUUCCAUUAGACUUUUUUAAGGAUGAUAAUAAUCUAUAAACAUUGUAGAAUGGUCAUGCUUCUCUUUGCAAGCUUAUAGCUUGAUUUACAUCUGAAUGACUUCGGCUUUAGUGUUUAUAGACUAGUUUCUUGAAUUGAUCAAUAUGGUCAUUCCAAAAUGUUAUCCAUAGAAUUUCAAAGCAUAACCACAUACUGGUGUACCAAAAUUUAAUUAGUGCAAUGUUAUUUCUCUAGAAACCCAA